UAGCUGCAGUAUUUUGACUGUACAAAGGUAGCAUAAUCAUUUGUCUUUUAAUUAAAGGCUUGUAUGAAAGGUGGGACGGAAAUAUAACUAUUUUUUAUUUUAAUAUUGAAUUUAAAAUUAAAGUUAUAAUGCUUUAAUUAUCUAAAGGGACGAGAAGACCCUAUAGAAUUUUAUAAUAUUAUUGUAUUCUAUUAUUUGGUUGGGGUGACAUAAAAUUAACUUUUUAUGAUAAUUGUCAUUUUGAGUGAAUGUAUGAUCUUAAAUUUUAGAAAGUAAAUAUAAUUACCUUAGGGAUAACAGCAUAAUUUUUUUUAAAAGAUCAAAUUUAUAAAAAAGAUUAUGACCUCGAUGUUGAAUUAAGAUAUUUUUCUGGUGUAGAAUUUAGGAAAGAUAGUCUGUUCGACUUUAAUUUUUACAUGAUUUGAGUUCAAACCGGCGUGAGCCAGGUUGGUUUCUAUCUUUUAUUAUUUA
RNAcentral lists this ribosomal RNA (471 nucleotides) under Klyveria crassiflagellata. RNAcentral describes it as "Diclidophlebia crassiflagellata partial large subunit ribosomal RNA". It matches the Rfam family "Bacterial large subunit ribosomal RNA", at positions 1928 to 2655 of the family's 2925-position model. Lineage: Eukaryota; Metazoa; Arthropoda; Insecta; Hemiptera; Liviidae. The record is from RNAcentral.